AAACUCUGCAGAAAUAAUAAAGCCAUUUCAACUUUAGUUGCUGAACAUUUUGGAAUACGUCUACAAUUGGAAUUGAAAUGGGACUAAAAUUGUUUAUAGUUUUGGCUAUAAUUACGAAGACCUCACUUGCGUGGCCAUGUAAGACCAGAGAACGAUGUAGCAAAACUUGUCAAAAUAUGGCAGGCUACGAAAUUAACAAGAGGUAUACCUAUG
Anneissia japonica is the source of this 213-nucleotide long non-coding RNA. RefSeq lists it as uncharacterized. The transcript is spliced from 3 exons. Lineage: Eukaryota; Metazoa; Echinodermata; Crinoidea; Comatulida; Comatulidae. The record is from RefSeq and is a predicted model, not a curated record.